CGAUCUGCUGAGGGCAUAUAAAAUGAAUAUGGGAGUCAAUUCCUCCCGCCGUUACGAUCAGUCCUUCCGCCGCCAGCGCCUCUGUCGAAGCCCCCACCGUCAUUUCAGGUGUUACUCCGUCCAUGAUAUCGGGAUUGCCAGCUUUGCCAAUUCCUGCUAUUUUUCCAUCUUUUAUUCCGAUAUCAGCCUUAUAAAUUCCCGUAUAAUCAAUAAUAAGCGCGUUGGUCAAUACCAGAUCCAGAUCUCCCCCGGCGCUGGUUGUUAGUACGGACUGUCCCAUCCCGUCCCU
Molecule: small RNA, 289 nt
Filed under: uncultured Hungatella sp.
Lineage: Bacteria; Bacillati; Bacillota; Clostridia; Lachnospirales; Lachnospiraceae
Description: 5' ureB small RNA
Rfam family: 5' ureB small RNA
Source: RNAcentral